RNAcentral lists this ribosomal RNA (275 nucleotides) under uncultured Legionella sp. Its description in RNAcentral is "partial 16S ribosomal RNA". It matches the Rfam family "Bacterial small subunit ribosomal RNA", at positions 554 to 827 of the family's 1533-position model. The record is from RNAcentral. Lineage: Bacteria; Pseudomonadati; Pseudomonadota; Gammaproteobacteria; Legionellales; Legionellaceae.
GUUGGGCGUAAAGGGUGCGUAGGUGGUUGAAUAAGUUAUCUGUGAAAUCCCCGGGCUCAACCUGGGAAGGUCAGAUAAGACUGUUUGACUCGAGUAUGGGAGAGGGUAGUGGAAUUUCCGGUGUAGCGGUGAAAUGCGUAGAGAUCGGAAGGAACACCAGUGGCGAAGGCGGCUACCUGGCCUGAUACUGACACUGAAGCACGAAAGCGUGGGGAGCAAACAGGAUUAGAUACCCUGGUAGUCCACGCCGUAAACGAUGUCAACUAGCUGUUGGA